UUCUUCUGACCUCCUUUACUUAUCUUUUACUCUACAAACCAGUGCAAUGAAUCCUGCAAGAUUUGUGGAAGUCAUCAAUACUCCCAGAGAGAAGACGUGGUGGGAUGACAGAGCGGCUGGAUGUAAUCAAUGUGUGCUCGCAGUAAUAUGGACUUUGACAACCUGCUCAUCUACAAUGUUGCUGGGAUCAAAAGAGAAAACAGCUGACUGAGUCUUAAUCGAGGUAAGUGGAGGACUGUCGGGAGUCAGAAGGACGGGCUGUUGUUUGAAGUGCUGGGGCGCACGCAGCCGAGGUAAUUGUGUCUGACGGGCGGCGAUAAUGAUGAGGCGCAGAUCAGAUCAACUGCAGAUCCCCUGCCUCCAACCCCCUGCUGCUCGUCUUCACUUUUCCCUUCUCUCCUAAUUGACCGGGCCGCAUCUCCCCCGAGCCCCUUUGUUAUUAUUUAUUAAUAAUUCAUUGCUAAAUAAUUCACACCCUUGGACCCGCAGUGUUAAUUGAGCUGCAGCGCUGGUGGGUGUGUGAGACUGAGGGGGUAGAAGAAAGGAGAAGGGAAGGGGGGAGGUUUGAAAAGUAGAGAUGAAGUGGGAAGUGGGCCUUCCUCGACUUGUACGGGAUCAAAACCAGGGAAAAGGUUAGUUUUGUUGUGGAUACUGAAGGAGCUCAGGGGCAUCUGGACAUCACAGUUUUGUGUCUGUUUGAGGCUGAGAGCAAGAGAAUCAAUAAAGCUCUUUAUAAUUAGAGGUAAAGGGUUAAUUCUCACUCAGGUCACAUUCACCUCCAUUCACACUCUUUGCAUGAUUUAUAUCUAAAUUACAAAAGGGGGAUACAUACAUCAAAUUUUGAUAUUUACCUGGCCACGCUUUUGAUUGAUUAGGCUGCUGAGUGUUCAACUCAGUUCAUAUAUGAAUAUAAUUUUUUAUCGUGAUCAGUUAGAAUUGACGAAAAAGUACAUCUGUAACAAUGAGUUGAUAAAUCGAUUGUUUCAGUUGUCAGAGAGUAAUCAGCAACGAUCACUGAAUUAAAGACAACACACAUUUACUUACUGCAGCAUCUCUGUUGUGAAGAUUUGCUGCUUUUCUUUUACAACAUUACAGAUGGAAAAUCUUUUGGUACAGAUUUUUGCCUAGAAAAUAGUAUUUCAUAUGCAGACGAAACAUUUGGCUUUAUUAAACUGUGAUGGAGAUUUCUCACUUUUUUCUUACACGACACACAUAACAAAUCUUUUAAUCAAGAAUAGAAUCGGCGUUGUGAAAUAUAAUUUAAAUAAUAAUUAGUUGCAGCACUAUUGGAAAGUAUAGAUGACAUAGAACUGUCGCAAAGACCUUGUAGUGAGUGAGAAGUGAGUGAAAAUGUGAUAUUAAAGUAGAGUUAUAUACAAAUUUAGAUGUAAUUCAUAUGCAUUUAUACAAAACCCAAUAUAUACACUGCAACAGAAAUGAAAGUUUAUUUGUUUCAGAUAACUUAUUAUAGCAGCAGUAAAUUCAUCCAUCACUGGAAAUACGA
Long non-coding RNA from Hippoglossus stenolepis (Pacific halibut), 1504 nucleotides. RefSeq lists it as uncharacterized. The transcript is spliced from 3 exons. The record is from RefSeq and is a predicted model, not a curated record. NCBI's taxonomy places the organism in Eukaryota, Metazoa, Chordata, Actinopteri, Pleuronectiformes, Pleuronectidae.